This 60-nucleotide microRNA precursor is filed under the name Xenoturbella bocki. Its description in RNAcentral is "Xbo-Mir-252-P1h_pre stem-loop". Lineage: Eukaryota; Metazoa; Xenacoelomorpha; Xenoturbellidae. The record is from RNAcentral.
CUAAGUAGUACUGCCGCAGGUAAUGUACUACUUGUGUUACCUGCACUCUACUGCUUAUAC